GGAGACACAAGCCAAAACACAAAUCAUCUAAGGACAGCUUUGCCACGAUUCACCCAACCCCGGGUGAGGAGUAUGAAAAACUCUAGGAGCCCCUAUCCUACAACCUUGAUACUAGACCUCCAGGCUUUCCUAUCAACGGUUAUGUCCUCGGAAACCCGCAUUUUAGCCAUGUCAUGCCUAAUCACCUCUCCCCAAGACUUCUUAGGCCUCCCUCUGCC
RNAcentral lists this long non-coding RNA (218 nucleotides) under Nicotiana benthamiana. RNAcentral's name for it is "long non-coding RNA (NBEN_LNC032761)". The record is from RNAcentral. Lineage: Eukaryota; Viridiplantae; Streptophyta; Magnoliopsida; Solanales; Solanaceae.